This 393-nucleotide ribosomal RNA is filed under the name uncultured bacterium. RNAcentral describes it as "bacterial SSU rRNA". It matches the Rfam family "Bacterial small subunit ribosomal RNA", at positions 96 to 524 of the family's 1533-position model. The record is from RNAcentral.
UGGCGCACGGGUGAGUAUCGCGUGGGAACCUGCCUUUCUCUGCGGGACAACGGUUGGAAACGACCGCUAAUACCGCAUACGCCCUACGGGGGAAAGGUCCGCCGGAGAUUGAGGGGCCCGCGUUUGAUUAGCUUGUUGGUGGGGUAAUGGCCUACCAAGGCGACGAUCAAUAGCUGGUCUGAGAGGAUGAUCAGCCACACUGGGACUGAGACACGGCCCAGACUCCUACGGGAGGCAGCAGUGGGGAAUAUUGGACAAUGGGGGCAACCCUGAUCCAGCAAUGCCGCGUGUGUGAUGAAGGCCUUAAGGUUGUAAAGCACUUUCACUGGCGAAGAUGAUGACGGUAACCAGAGAAGAAGCCCCGGCUAACUUCGUGCCAGCAGCCGCGGUAAU